UUUUGAUUCAAUUUGUGGAGUCCAGGAGAUUAUAUAGAUUAGACACAUGUGUCAACCCGCCAAACAAUAUCUAGAAUUCAUCAAAAGAUGUCAGUAACCUAGGUCGUUGAGCUGUUGAUUGAAGCCCGCGGUCAUCGGAGGUUGCAAUGGCGUGGCGUUAUACUGCUGAUGGUGUGGCAAAUUGUGUGUGGGAGCAACCAACAUCCACAUUUUAGCCAUCGGCAAGUCCUCCGCUUGUGUCCUACCGUUCUUCAGGCGUCAUGAGGCUUCUUGUUGUUCAUCCUCAUAACAGAACAACAUUUCUAAAUGCGGGAAUCCUGUUUGGUCAACAUC
This 333-nucleotide long non-coding RNA is filed under the name Hordeum vulgare. RNAcentral describes it as "long non-coding RNA (HVUL_LNC002624)". The record is from RNAcentral. Lineage: Eukaryota; Viridiplantae; Streptophyta; Magnoliopsida; Poales; Poaceae.